UCAAUCUUUGCGCCCAGAGGUUGCAAUAAGUCUGAAUCCCACAUCAAACUGUUUGUGGUACCUCUAAACUUCAUGGAGGAGCCAUGUUUCAUAAAUCUGAGAAAGCCUUGGUCUGAGGGGGGCAAAGACAGAAAACCUCACACCCUGCCCAUGCAUAGCCACUUUGCAGUUGGACAUCCCCAGACACUUUUCUGACCGUCGUUGAAAUUUCCUGGAGGGAGGUAUGAAGAGUUACAUCCAGAGAACUCUGAACAUUUUGGAAGGACCCUAAGCCUGCAAACAAUGAAUGGCAAUAAAUCCUGGGACUGGAAAGAAAAUCAUAUUUGCAUAUGCAUAAGGGAAAGGGGAGAUGGUGAAGACAGAAGAUACAGAUAAACAGAUGGUUGUUGAUCUAUCUUCCCUACCAGACAGAGAGUGCUUGAGGAUCGGAAUUCUAUUAUUCAUUUUUGUAUCACCAUAGUGUCUAGCACAAUGCUUUUUUCAGAGAAAACACAAGUUUCUUUGCAUUAAAAAAAGAAUCACCAGUAUAUCUGCUUCUUUCUCUAUGGAAGCUGUGGAAAUAAGUAACACUGAGCAAAAGAACUUUGAAUUUUGCAAAGUUUAAUGAAGCCAGAUGUCAUGUUCAUGAGACUCAUGUGUCAAGGAACUGAAGAUGUACCCCGGCCAACAGCCAGCCAAGAACUGAUUGGCUAAGAGUCCUUGAGGAAGUGAAUCUCACCAACAACCAUAUAGUGAACUUGAAAAUGAUCCUUCCUCAGUUGAACCCUCAGAUGAGACUGAAGUCCUAAUUAACAGUUUGUUCUGCCUUGCGAGAAUGUGAAACAGAGGCCUAAGCUAAGGCAUGCCCAGAUUCUUGAUCCACAGAAACUGUGUGAUAAUAAAUGUGCAUUGAUUUAAGCCUCA
Long non-coding RNA from Saimiri boliviensis boliviensis (Bolivian squirrel monkey), 903 nucleotides. RefSeq lists it as uncharacterized. NCBI's taxonomy places the organism in Eukaryota, Metazoa, Chordata, Mammalia, Primates, Cebidae. The record is from RefSeq and is a predicted model, not a curated record.